This 378-nucleotide long non-coding RNA is filed under the name Mus pahari (shrew mouse). Its description in RNAcentral is "lncRNA (MGP_PahariEiJ_G0004001.1)". The record is from RNAcentral. Lineage: Eukaryota; Metazoa; Chordata; Mammalia; Rodentia; Muridae.
UUUCUGCCGGAGAGACUGGCCCUCUUUCCAUCUCAAACGGUUGACUCCAUACAGCCUUUUCCUCCCUGACGUCAUUUUCAGUAUCUUUGACGUCAUUUCUCCCUUUCCAUAGGAAGUCCUAACUGACAGUAGGGACUCUACAUUGUUCACCUAGAAUGAAUUUGUUCAACAUUGUAAAGGCCUGUUCCCCACUCCCCCAGCAGCCCCACCACAAAUAGAUUUGCUAACCUUUAGAUGUUAUUCAUCUACAAUUCCUGACUGAGCUUUCUGUGACAUGUUCGCUGGUUUAUCAAGAGCAGUCCUGUAGAGGGGACUAAAGUGGCACAGAACUGUGAUAUACUGACAAGAGGUACAGGAGCAGGCCUUCCUAGAAGUGGA